RNAcentral lists this long non-coding RNA (778 nucleotides) under Brassica rapa (field mustard). RNAcentral's name for it is "long non-coding RNA (BRAP_LNC003236)". The record is from RNAcentral. Lineage: Eukaryota; Viridiplantae; Streptophyta; Magnoliopsida; Brassicales; Brassicaceae.
UCCUGAGAGACAGCCGAUCGGAACAUCGGCUCAGAGCGACAAGGACUACAAGGAGCCACCUCCUGCUCCCUUGUUCGAGCCUGGCGAGCUUGCUUCGUGGUCCUUCUGGAGAGCAGGGAUCGCCGAGUUCAUCGCCACGUUUCUGUUCCUUUACAUCACUGUUUUGACCGUCAUGGGUGUCAAGAGGUCGCCGAACAUGUGUGCUUCUGUCGGAAUCCAAGGCAUCGCUUGGGCUUUCGGUGGUAUGAUCUUCGCUCUCGUCUACUGCACCGCUGGUAUCUCCGGUAAGUCACCACCAACACGUUUCAAAACUCUCAGAUCUAACGUUUGUAUAUGAUUAGAUCUUAGUGUUUAGACUGUUUAGUGAAGAACUAAACUAGGGUUUACAAAAACAUGUAACUAGGUUGGUUGUGUAAGAAAAGAAAAUAAACUAAGGAGCAAUAAUAAUUGAGAAUUUUUACCAAAAAAAAAAGUUUUACCAAAAAAGUAAUAAUUGAGGAAUUUUACCAAAAAAUAAUAAUUGAAGAAAUCUUUUUUUUUUUAAAUUGAGGAUUUUUUUUUUUAAUUUGUAGAUGUUUGUAAUAACGAUUUGUGUUGUGUUAUGGCCUCUCUCAGGUGGACACAUCAACCCAGCUGUCACGUUCGGUCUGUUCUUGGCAAGAAAGCUUUCGCUGACACGAGCUGUGUACUACAUAGUGAUGCAGUGCUUAGGAGCUAUCUGUGGAGCUGGUGUGGUCAAGGGGUUCCAACCAAAGCAGUACCAAGCUCUAGGAGGUGG